This 1108-nucleotide long non-coding RNA is filed under the name Citrus maxima (pomelo). RNAcentral describes it as "long non-coding RNA (CMAX_LNC003495)". The record is from RNAcentral. Lineage: Eukaryota; Viridiplantae; Streptophyta; Magnoliopsida; Sapindales; Rutaceae.
UGCUUUACGUGCUCUGGAAAUAUCAGUCAUUUUACAAAUGAAAAAGAAAUCAAGAUUUCAUGUUUCACCAUGCUUGGGUUGCUAUCAAACAUAGCAACACCAAAAAAUCAAAUCCAGUGAAGGAGAAUUACCAAAUACAAGGUCAAGAUUCCACCAUAUUAUCAAAAUUGACAUUUGACCGUCAUUAGUAGCAUUAAUUGUUUUGUAGCGUACAGAGCCACACAAAACACUAAGACUAAAGAAAUCAAAGAUGAAAACAAACACCAUAUCACAUUAAACAUUUUCAAACACGGCUCUAAGAUAUAAAAAUCAUGAUCAAUCUCAACAGUAUCCAGUUUGCGAUUUGGGAAAAGAAACUGAAAAAACCAAUCAUUCAAUCAUCUUUCAGCCAAAGAAACAAACCAUAUCUCACCCAAAUGGGGGAAAAGAAAAAACAAAAGAAUGAAUCAUAAAUCACAAAUCAAUUUUGGUAUACAAAUUACUAGUCAUGGUUAUAACUAAAUACAACAUCUCAAGUGAACGAACCUCAACAAAUUAUGAAACGAAACACGAAACAAUCAGCAGUAGCUCAAGUUAUUGGUUUUUAUUCUCUGCAAAAACAGAACAAACCAGAGAAAUGAGAGACAAAAACAGCAGCGAUAUUUACAUAACUCAAGCACAUUAACAAAAACAUGGGAACGAGGAAAAAGAAAUGAACUUUAAACCAAAUUCAUAAAACCGAAACGAAAAAUGGAACUUUUUUGUUCGAUUUUUUGUUCUGCUGAGAGAUUUUGUUGACAAAAACAAAAGAACCCAGAAAUGCUAAAGAGGAAGAGAGAGAAAUCAAUACGUGAUCGUAGUGUUAAAAAAAAAAAAAACCUCACAACAGUAGUCAGAUGGCAGCAGGGGAGCACCGUGACAGCAGCAACAAUUGAUAGUAGGUGACAGCGGCAAGUGACAGUGGCAGCAGCAGCAGAUGACAGCGGCUACAGCAGGUGGUAGCGGCGGCGGAGAGUCGUGAAGGACAAGCAGCAGCAGCAGCGGGGACGAGAUUCCAGCGGCUGAAGGUGCUGCGGCUUCGGUUUUCGGCUGAAGAUCAGAAGAAAUGAAGAAUGUGUUUAGUUUAGAC